UACGUAGGGUGCAAGCGUUACUCGGAAUCAUUGGGCGUAAAGCGUAUGUAGGCGGUUUCGUAAGUCUGAUGUGAAAGCCCUGGACUCAAUCCAGGAAGUGCAUUGGAUACUGCGAGACUAGAGUAUAGGAGAGGUGGACGGAAUUCCUGGUGUAGAGGUGAAAUUCGUAGAUAUCAGGAGGAACAACAGAGGCGAAGGCGGUUCACUGGACUAUAACUGACGCUGAGAUACGAAAGUGUGGGGAGCAAACAGG
Molecule: ribosomal RNA, 253 nt
Filed under: uncultured prokaryote
Description: partial 16S ribosomal RNA
Rfam family: Bacterial small subunit ribosomal RNA
Source: RNAcentral